UAUUGCACAAUGGGCGCAAGCCUGAUGCAGCCAUGCCGCGUGUGUGAAGAAGGCCUUCGGGUUGUAAAGCACUUUCAGCGGGGAGGAAGGCGGUGAGGUUAAUAACCUCAUCGAUUGACGUUACCCGCAGAAGAAGCAUCGGCUAACUCCGUGCCAGCAGCCGCGGUAAUACGGAGGGUGCAAGCGUUAAUCGGAAUUACUGGGCGUAAAGCGCACGCAGGCGGUCUGUCAAGUCGGAUGUGAAAUCCCCGGGCUUAACCUGGGAACUGCAUUCGAAACUGGCAGGCUAGAGUCUUGUAGAGGGGGGUAGAAUUCCAGGUGUAGCGGUGAAAUGCGUAGAGAUCUGGAGGAAUACCGGUGGCGAAGGCGGCCCCCUGGACAAAGACUGACGCUC
RNAcentral lists this ribosomal RNA (394 nucleotides) under Klebsiella pneumoniae. RNAcentral describes it as "bacterial SSU rRNA". It matches the Rfam family "Bacterial small subunit ribosomal RNA", at positions 362 to 748 of the family's 1533-position model. Lineage: Bacteria; Pseudomonadati; Pseudomonadota; Gammaproteobacteria; Enterobacterales; Enterobacteriaceae. The record is from RNAcentral.